Molecule: ribosomal RNA, 460 nt
Filed under: uncultured bacterium
Lineage: Bacteria
Description: partial 16S ribosomal RNA
Rfam family: Bacterial small subunit ribosomal RNA
Source: RNAcentral
CCUACGGGAGGCAGCAGUGAGGAAUAUUGGUCAAUGGACGAGAGUCUGACCCAGCCAAGUAGCGUGAAGGAUGACUGCCCUAUGGGUUGUAAACUUCUUUUAUAUGGGAAUAAAAUGUUCCACGUGUGGGAUUUUGUCUUUACCAUAUGAAUACGGAUCGGCUAACUCCGUGCCAGCAGCCGCGGUAAUACGGAGGAUCCGAGCGUUAUCCGGAUUUAGUGGGUUUAACGGGAGCGUAGGUGGAUUGUUAAGUCAGUUGUGAAAGUUUGCGGCUCAACCGUAAAAUUGCAGUUGAAUCUGGCAGUCUUGAGUACAGUAGAGGUGGGCGGAAUUCGAGGUGUAGCGGUGAAAUGCUUAGAUAGCACGAAGAACUCCGAUUGCGAAGGCAGCUCAAUGGACUGCAACUGACACUGAGGCUCGAAAGUGUGGGUAUCAAACAGGAUUAGAUACCCGAGUAGUC